RNAcentral lists this long non-coding RNA (356 nucleotides) under Homo sapiens (human). RNAcentral's name for it is "long non-coding RNA NONHSAT005710". The record is from RNAcentral. Lineage: Eukaryota; Metazoa; Chordata; Mammalia; Primates; Hominidae.
UGUGUCCCCAAGAAAGUGUCAGAGCCUUUACGUGGACCUUCUCAUGAAAAAGGAAACAGAAUAGUCAAUGGAAAAGGAAAAGGCAAUGAAAAGAAGAAGCCAAGAAGAACCCUCAAAACCUUAAGGCCUCCUGCAAAACAUCCUUCCUUGAAGCACUGAAGUGGAAGAUCCUGCUGUGAAAGGAGCAGUACAAAGAAAGUAUGUACAGACAUUGAGAGCAGAACAAACCUUACCAGUGGCUUUAGAGGAAGAGCAAGAAAGGUGUGAAAGAAGUGAAAAGAAGCAAUCACAGGUCAAAGAAGGAAAUAAUACAAACAAAAGUGAAAAAAUACAACUAUCAGAAAAUGUAUGUCAUA